Molecule: unclassified non-coding RNA, 407 nt
Filed under: Hevea brasiliensis (rubber tree)
Lineage: Eukaryota; Viridiplantae; Streptophyta; Magnoliopsida; Malpighiales; Euphorbiaceae
Source: RNAcentral
UCAUUCUCAUUUGUCUCAGCACUCUGAGGGCGAGAACUGGAAUCAGCAACAUCAGGCUUCCUCCAGCUCCUCUCAACACGCUCAGUGCCAGAACCCCCACGCCCAUUCCCAAAGCUCCACCGCCCAAAUGAUGUCGAAUUGCUUCUUUCACCUUUUUCAAUUUCUUUAUUACCAUUGAUCUUCAGAGACUGCAGCUUCUCAUCAAUCUGUUUCCAGUCCUUUCCCUUCUCAGCUAACACCUCCUCUCUCGGCCUCGCCUCUCCAAAUGGGCUCGACCCUUUGGGUUUCGCUGCUGUGCCAUUCUCGUUACUUACAGGUACUGUGCGUGGCUGUAAUACAAGCUUUGGCCUUACACUUCCUGUUCCAUUAACGUCCUCUUUCUUCCUUCCCCAGUUAUCGGAAUCUGC